GAGUUUGAUCAUGGCUCAGAACGAACGCUGGCGGCAGGCUUAACACAUGCAAGUUGAACGCGUGUAGCAAUACACGAGUGGCGCACGGGUGAGUAACGCGUGGGAAUAUGCCCUUCAGUACGGAAUAACGUCGGGAAACUGACGCUAAUACCGUAUAAUGUCUACGGACCAAAGAUUUAUCGCUGAAGGAUUAGCCCGCGUUGGAUUAGCUAGUUGGUGAGGUAACGGCUCACCAAGGCGAUGAUCCAUAGCUGGUCUGAGAGGAUGAUCAGCCACACUGGGACUGAGACACGGCCCAGACUCCUACGGGAGGCAGCAGUGAGGAAUAUUGGACAAUGGGGGCAACCCUGAUCCAGCCAUGCCGCGUGAGUGAUGAAGGCCCUCGGGUUGUAAAGCUCUUUUAUCCCUGAAGAUAAUGACGGUAAGGGAAGAAAAAGCCACGGCUAACUUCGUGCCAGCAGCCGCCGCGGUAAC
RNAcentral lists this ribosomal RNA (474 nucleotides) under uncultured Alphaproteobacteria bacterium. RNAcentral's name for it is "bacterial SSU rRNA". It matches the Rfam family "Bacterial small subunit ribosomal RNA", at positions 9 to 524 of the family's 1533-position model. The record is from RNAcentral. Lineage: Bacteria; Pseudomonadati; Pseudomonadota; Alphaproteobacteria.